AUGGAAAAUACUCUGAAUGCUGCAAUUGGAGAGGAGCCUGAAGCUGUACCACUGGAAGUCCAAGGCAAGACCACUGAAAAUACUCUGAAUGAUGCAGUUGGAGUGGAGCCUGAAACUGUACCACUGGAAAGCAGAGUCGAGCUCGAGACCAUGGAAAACACACUGAACGAUGCAGGAUGUCCGAGUAAAACGAGUGCUGAACCUGCCCUGCCUGAAAGUACAAGCGAUGGAGCACCAUGUGAAGACGGCGGUGCCACGGUGUACGCCAAUCCUGAUUCCAAGGUGUCUUUGGAGAGCCAUGGUGGUGAGCAAAAGGAGCAGGAUGAUGAUGGAGGUAAAGCAGAUGUUUCUGAAUCAACCGAGGGCGAUGCCACCGUGCCUGCAGAAACUCUAGCAACAGGAGCGAAUUCUGCAGCGCCUGUACCAGAAGCGGGCAAGCCGGAAGAAGGUGCUGAAGGAGCACCUCCAGAGGUAGAAGAAGCGGCCUCGGCAACACGCGAUAACGGUCCCAAGGGCGGCGACGACGAAAAGAACAAGGGCUUGGACGACGAGAACGAGAAGCUGAAGGAGAUGCUGCAGAAGCUCCUCGCCUCCGGCAACGACCAGAUGGGGGUCAUCGCGGAGCUGAGCGACAAGGUGAGGUCGCUGGAGAGGAAGCUCGCGGUGCACAAGAGGAGGAGGAGGCCCAAGGUGAGGGUGCAGCAACGUCCACUGAAGAAUGACCACGCUUGA
Molecule: ribosomal RNA, 732 nt
Filed under: Triticum aestivum (bread wheat)
Lineage: Eukaryota; Viridiplantae; Streptophyta; Magnoliopsida; Poales; Poaceae
Description: partial small subunit ribosomal RNA
Source: RNAcentral